Molecule: long non-coding RNA, 588 nt
Organism: Styela clava
Lineage: Eukaryota; Metazoa; Chordata; Ascidiacea; Stolidobranchia; Styelidae
Source: RefSeq, a predicted model, not a curated record
UGUGCUUCUGUCGGGAUAUUUGCUUAUUUGAUAUUCACGAGUAAAUAUCAGGUAACAUAUGUCGUUUAUAGUUUAUUCAAAUCUAACCGCAUACGUAACUAUAUUCAAAAAUACCCACAUUCCUGUUGUUUAAUCUAACAUCUGGAAAGUAAGGUUUUGAAGAUAUAUAAGACGUAAUGUCGAAGUACUAAACUAUUGUUCCUAAUCUUGUUACAGCGCAAUUAUAUAAAGCAAAAGGUGACCUUCAAUAAACUUCAAGGAACUUCAAAGCAAAUUUAGUACCAGAUACUCGAAGCAUGGAUACAAGAGGAGCGCUCGUAUUUUUUAUAAUCGCAUUGACGAUGACGAACUGUGCUGAUGCGUGGUGGUAUAAGCCAUUUACCGGAAAGCAUACACCAGCUCUUACUGCAAAAAGCAGUGUCUCUCAUGACAUCAGCAUGGAUGAUGCAAUUGAAAGAUUCGCAGAUUUUCUUGAAGCAAGUGAUAUGGAAGAAAACGAAUAAGAUGCAAUCAGCUUAUCAUGAUGAAGACAAAAUACAUCUUCGUGCUAAUAUAUAAAUGUGUAAUAAAAAAAUAAUAAAAAUAUGA